Molecule: signal recognition particle RNA, 331 nt
Filed under: Arabidopsis thaliana (thale cress)
Lineage: Eukaryota; Viridiplantae; Streptophyta; Magnoliopsida; Brassicales; Brassicaceae
Description: ATSL124450
Rfam family: Plant signal recognition particle RNA
Source: RNAcentral
GUACGUCGAACUCAGUAACGCGGGCUUGUGAUCCAAGUGGAGACAAUAAGGGGAUGGGACGUUGGGUCGAUCUCAUUGGGCCGGGUUCGGGUUGGGCUAUAUUCUGGCCCGCCCAUUCCAAGUUGGGAGUUGAGGCAUGGGCUUCGAGCGAAGGCUCGGGUCUCAUGUCUUCUAGAGUGGGGGAGACCGCGUGAGGCUGGUUUCACAGAGCAGCGUCCACCUCCCGCUCUUGACGGUGGAAGGAUUACGGGCCAUUGCCUUCCGAGCCCACUAUGACCCAAUAAGCCGCUCCGAUUGGACCAUCACUUUUUUAUUUUCUCUUUCUUAUUUU